RNAcentral lists this ribosomal RNA (292 nucleotides) under uncultured bacterium. RNAcentral's name for it is "partial 16S ribosomal RNA". RNAcentral also lists the same sequence under 1 other name. The record is from RNAcentral.
GGACUACAGGGGUAUCUAAUCCUGUUUGAUCCCCACGCUUUCGUGCCUCAGUGUCAAUAAUCGCUUAGUAAGCUGCCUCCGCUAUCGGUGUUCUAUGUCAUAUCUAAGCAUUUCACCGCUACAUGACAUAUUCCGCUUACCUCAACGAUAUUCAAGACUGAUAGUAUCAACGGCAGUUUCCGAGUUAAGCCCGGAGAUUUCACCACUGACUUACCAGCCCACCUACGCACCCUUUAAACCCAGUGAAUCCGGAUAACGCUUGCACCCUCCGUAUUACCGCGGCUGCUGGCAC